This 495-nucleotide ribosomal RNA is filed under the name uncultured bacterium. RNAcentral describes it as "partial 16S ribosomal RNA". It matches the Rfam family "Bacterial small subunit ribosomal RNA", at positions 28 to 507 of the family's 1533-position model. The record is from RNAcentral.
GACGAACGCUGGCGGCGUGCCUAGUACAUGCAAGUAGAACGCUGAAGGAGGAGCUUGCUUCUCUGGAUGAGUUGCGAACGGGUGAGUAACGCGUAGGUAACCUGCCUGGUAGCGGGGGAUAACUAUUGGAAACGAUAGCUAAUACCGCAUAAUAGUAGAUGUUGCAUGACAUUUGCUUAAAAGGUGCAAUUGCAUCACUACCAGAUGGACCUGCGUUGUAUUAGCUAGUUGGUGAGGUAACGGCUCACCAAGGCGACGAUACAUAGCCGACCUGAGAGGGUGAUCGGCCACACUGGGACUGAGACACGGCCCAGACUCCUACGGGAGGCAGCAGUAGGGAAUCUUCGGCAAUGGACGGAAGUCUGACCGAGCAACGCCGCGUGAGUGAAGAAGGUUUUCGGAUCGUAAAGCUCUGUUGUAAGAGAAGAACGAGUGUGAGAGUGGAAAGUUUACACUGUGACGGUAUCUUACCAGAAAGGGACGGCUAACUACGUG